This 1242-nucleotide ribosomal RNA is filed under the name metagenome. RNAcentral describes it as "bacterial LSU rRNA". It matches the Rfam family "Bacterial large subunit ribosomal RNA", at positions 1564 to 2815 of the family's 2925-position model. The record is from RNAcentral.
UGAAUACGAGAUGCUACGGCGUCGAAGCAGUGUAUGUCAGACUUCCAAGAAAAGCUCGCAAUGUCAUAAAUAAAGAAUGCCUGUACCAUAACCGACACAGGUGGGUAGGUAGAGUAUACUAAGGGGCGCGAGAUAACUCUCUCUAAGGAACUCGGCAAAAUAACUCCGUAACUUCGGGAGAGGAGUGCCUUCUAUUAGAAGGUUGCAAUAACAAGAUCCAAGCAACUGUUUAUCAAAAACACAGGUCUCCGCUAAGUCGUAAGACGAUGUAUGGGGGCUGACGCCUGCCCAGUGCCAGAAGGUUAAAGAAGUUGGUUAGCUUUGGCGAAGCUGAUGACUGAAGCCCUGGUGAACGGCGGCCGUAACUAUAACGGUCCUAAGGUAGCGAAAUUCCUUGUCGGGUAAGUUCCGACCCGCACGAAAGGCGUAAUGAUUUGGAUACUGUCUCGGAGAGGGACUCGGUGAAAUAGACUUGUCUGUGAAGAUGCGGACUACCUGCACCAGGACAGAAAGACCCUAUGAAGCUUUACUGUAACUUGAAAUUGAAAUUGGACUUUAUUUGCGCAGCAUAGGUGGAAGGCGUUGAGAUUACUCUUGCGGGAGUACUGGAGCCAUCAGUGAGAUACCACUCCUAUAAUGUUAGAUUUCUAACUUUGGAUCAUGAUCUGGUCAAAGAACAGUUUCAGGCGGGCAGUUUGACUGGGGCGGUCGCCUCCCAAAUGGUAACGGAGGCGUACAAAGGUUUCCUCUGAACGGGUAGAAAUCGUAUCUAGAGUGUAAAGGCAUAAGGAAGCUUGACUGUGAGACCUACAAGUCGAGCAGGGACGAAAGUCGGUCUUAGUGAUCUGACGGUGCUGAGUGGAAAGGCCGUCACUCAACGGAUAAAAGUUACUCUAAGGAUAACAGGCUGAUCUCCCCCAAGAGUUCACAUCGACGGGGAGGUUUGGCACCUCGAUGUCGGCUCAUCGCAUCCUGGGGCGGUAGUACGUCCCAAGGGUUGGGCUGUUCGCCCAUGAAAGCGGUACGCGAGCUGGGUUCAGAACGUCGUGAGACAGUUCGGUCCAUAUCCGGUGUAGGCGUUAGAAUAUUGAGAGGAGCCUUCUUUAGUACGAGAGGACCGAGAAGGACAUACCUCUGGUGUACCAGUUAUCGUGCCAACGGUAAACGCUGGGUAGCUAUGUAUGGAGAGGAUAACCGCUGAAAGCAUCUAAGUGGGAAGCCCACCUCAAGAUGAGUAUUCUC